UAAAUAUACAUUUAUAUAUUAAUUUAAUUAGGUAAAUAAAUUUAAUUCUUAUUGAGGUUUACAUUAAUUUUAAUAAUUAGUAUACAAAUUGUUUAGAUAUUUUUAUGGUAGUUGAUGAAAUUGAACUAUGAAAUAAUUUUUGAUUUAGUAAUUGAGGUUUUAAUUGGAUAUAAUUGUGCCAGCUUCCGCGGUUAAACAAUUAAUUAGAAUGUAAGUUGGGAGGUGAAAGUUAGUGAUAAAUUACUGGUUAUGUAUCUUGAUUAUAUAAUAAUGUUUUAGGUGGAAUUUUAUUUUAUAUAAAUAAUUUAGAUUAAUAAUUUGAUUAGUUAAAAAAUUUCUAUAAUAGACUAGGAUUAGAUACCCUAUUAUUGGAAAUAGAGUUAUUUACCGAAGUAGUAAUGUUAAUGAAACUUAAAGAAUUUGGCGGUACACGAGUCCAUUUAGAGGAACCUGUUUCUGAAUCGAUAUUCCACGUUUAAAUUUACCUUAAUUUUAUUUAUAUAUCGUCAUCGGAAGAUUACUUUUUUGAAGUUGUGUUGUUUUCUUGAGUUUUUUUUAAGGAUGUUAGAUCAAGGUGUAGUAUAUUAAGGGGGGACAUGGGUUACUAUGGAAAUAUUUUAUUUGAUAAUAGUAUGAAAAUUUAUUGGAUAGAGGAUUUAAUGGUAAUGUAAAUGAGUUUAUUUAUGUGGUCAUUGGUUUUUGUGUAUGUACAUAUCGCCCGUCACUCUCGUUGAUUUAUGUAAAUGAGAAAAGUCGUAACAUAGUGGGUGUAUUGGAAAAUGUACCUGGAAUUUCA
This 796-nucleotide non-coding RNA is filed under the name Sphaerotheriidae sp. HYS-2012. The record is from RNAcentral. Lineage: Eukaryota; Metazoa; Arthropoda; Diplopoda; Sphaerotheriida; Sphaerotheriidae.